Molecule: non-coding RNA, 576 nt
Organism: Camellia sinensis
Lineage: Eukaryota; Viridiplantae; Streptophyta; Magnoliopsida; Ericales; Theaceae
Source: RefSeq, a predicted model, not a curated record
ACAAAUCAUAUAUAUACAUAUUUUCUUGAUGCCUGCAAUCCAACAGUUACACUUAAUUUUCUCUAUUUUAAUUAACACAUUUGAUUGUGAUAUUCUUAGUUGGUGAAUUAUUUGGUCAUGUACGAAAGAGGCAGCCUUGGGCUGAUCCGAAGAUUGUCAAGCAACUCGUAGAUGCAAACUUAUAUGCAUUACUUGGGGAAAGAACUGCAGCAGAUGAUGAAAAGCCUAUUAAAAAGAAGAAGGAGAAGCCUGUUAAGGUUGAGGAAUGCACUACUGCUGUAGAUACUCCGCCAAAACCAUCUGAAGAAGAACUCAACCCCUAUUUAAUAUUCCCUUCACCAGAGGAAAACUAUAAGGUACAUACUGAAAUAUUUUUCAGUGACCGCCCUGUGCUGAGACCUUGCAAUACGAGGGAAAUGCUCGAAAAACAUCUGAAGGCAACAGGGGGGAAAGUAUUUACACGCUUUCCGCCAGAACCAAAUGGGUAUCUACAUAUUGGUCAUGCCAAGGCUAUGUUUAUUAAUUUUGGUUUGGCAAAAGAAAGAGGUGGAUGUUGCUAUCUAAGGUGAGGAUGCA